GUCUUUGAUCUUUGAUAUAACAUGUUUAAAUUUUAGUAUUGCUCUGUAUUGCCAGAGGAAGAGCUUCAUUACUCUCCACCCCUGAGAUCACUAUUGCUCUACUUACUUAUCCCCUGUUAUGAUCCACACUAAUGUCUUCCUUAUCUUGACUAUGUUGUUAUUUUAUGAUGCUCUUUUGAAUUUGGUCUUCUAUUUGUUGUUAUUAUUCUUUCCUUCAUUUUUGGUUUUUUGCUUCUCCAUUUAUUCUUGUUGCUACUUUAUUGGAGAUUAUUACUCUCCAAAACUCUGAUUAACCGUUUUCUCUGGGUUCUCCUUUCC
This 318-nucleotide long non-coding RNA is filed under the name Capsicum annuum. Its description in RNAcentral is "long non-coding RNA (CANN_LNC017263)". Lineage: Eukaryota; Viridiplantae; Streptophyta; Magnoliopsida; Solanales; Solanaceae. The record is from RNAcentral.